Molecule: ribosomal RNA, 442 nt
Filed under: uncultured bacterium
Lineage: Bacteria
Description: SSU rRNA
Rfam family: Bacterial small subunit ribosomal RNA
Source: RNAcentral
AGAGCGAACGCUGGCGGCAGGCUUAACACAUGCAAGUCGAGCGCCCCGCAAGGGGAGCGGCAGACGGGUGAGUAACGCGUGGGAACGUACCUUUUGGUUCGGAACAACACAGGGAAACUUGUGCUAAUACCGGAUAAGCCCUUACGGGGAAAGAUUUAUCGCCGAAAGAUCGGCCCGCGUCUGAUUAGCUAGUUGGUGAGGUAACGGCUCACCAAGGCGACGAUCAGUAGCUGGUCUGAGAGGAUGAUCAGCCACAUUGGGACUGAGACACGGCCCAAACUCCUACGGGAGGCAGCAGUGGGGAAUAUUGGACAAUGGGCGCAAGCCUGAUCCAGCCAUGCCGCGUGAGUGAUGAAGGCCCUAGGGUUGUAAAGCUCUUUUAACGGGGAAGAUAAUGACGGUACCGUAGAAUAAGCCCGGCUAACUUCGUGCCAGCAGCCGC